UUUUACUCUCGAACUCUUUUCGUCUGAAACACCUCCAUCAUGUAACAAGAACAACACCUCCAUCAUGUAACAAGAACAACACCUCCACCAUGAAGCAAGAACAACAGCUACGACAAAUAUGAUACGUAACAACAGAUUAAAACCCGGGUUAUUCGAUUGUUAAUCUUAUUCUUCUUUAAUUUUGACAAUUUGAAUCACCGAUUUUUGACCUAAUUUUGGCUUCCUAUUUCAGCAACCAUUGCAAUUGCUUUCCAUUCCUUAUGCUACGGAACACCUGAGGCCAUUUCAUCUUCGUUUUGUCUGUCGUGCUCUCUCAUCCUUGGACACACCCCAACUGUGAACAGAGCUACAGUACAAUAACGGCUACGAAACAGAUUACGAUUUCAUUACUUCUAUCUCGAAAUUGUGUCUUUAGGUUCGUCAAGUCCAAAUCUAAUUCAUUCAAAUUUAUGAAUUUUGUCACCGAUUUUCUACUCUUAUUUGAUCUAUCUUUGAAUUUUAGUUUGUUUCCCAAUUUCAGUUGCCAUUUUUUUCGAUUCUUCAGGAUUUCGGCAAAGAACCCAUUAAAAUUGUGUUUUUUUUUUAAAAAAAAUUUGUGAAGUUCAGUAGUUUGUUGAUUUUCCUGAGAGAAAACAUGUUCACUUAUUUUCAUAUAUUUGGUUGCUUUGGAUUGGCGAUUCUUUGUAUGUUUGUCGUAAGAGCGUAAUAGAGAAUAGUGAAGAUUGUGAACCUAUUGUAUUUCUUAGUCCUCCAUACUUUUCAAAUUAUUCCAUAACUUUUUGUUUGUCUAGCCAACAUGAAAAUAUGCUAAGGUUAUGGUUUAGUCAUAGUAGGGAUUGUUUGAGACACGGUAUCUUCCGAGCCCGAAAUUGCCCGAACACCACUUCCAUUGGGUUCCAACCAGAGCUCUUAAGCUACUGAUGAUUUUUAUUUAAGAGAGGUAAAGUUGAGAAAUCAAGUGAAUACUCCCUCCAUUUCAAAAUUAUUAGAGGUUGGUAUGUCUCUCUAUACCUCAAUCACUGACACUUGCUUGAUGGCUUAUACUUGAAAUGGUUUUGUAAAUGUUAGAAACUUUAGUAAUACAGCUCAAGAAAAGUACUGAGGAUCAGAAAGCUUAGGCAAGCAACAUACACCGGCACUUGCAUUGUAUUCUCUCACACAGGUAGUUGCAUGAUUGCAGGUACGAUGUUGCUAUGAAUAUAAACACUCGAGGACCUUUUUGACUUAUGACUUUGUAAAAAGGUGCAAGAAACUUCAACUGUUCUUGCAAGUAUCAACUGUAAUAUGGAUGUAGUCUUCAUUUCAUCGACAACCUAUGUUAACGGACAAAGACAAGGUAGAAUCUUGGAAAAACCAUUUUCUAUCGGGGAUAGCCUAGCAAGGGAACAACUCGCAUCUAAUACCCAUGCAAGAGCUCCACCCUUGAUAGAUAUUGAAGCUGAAAUGAAGUUGGCUUUGCAUUCAAAAGAGACAUUCCAAGAAAAUUUGAAUUGGGUUUUGAAAGGGCUAGGACCUAAGGUUGGCAAGACACAUAUGUGCUCACUAAGGCCAUGGGAGAAAUGAUAAUCAACAGUAUGAGAGGGGAUAUACCUGUAGCCAUAAUACGUCCGAGUGUCAUUGAAAGUACUUACAUGGAACCUUUUCCAGGAUGGAUGGAAGGAAACAGGAUGAUGGAUCCAAUAGUUUUAUACUAUGGUAAAGGCUUUUAGCUGACCCAAAAGGAGUUCUUGAUGUGGUGCGUCGAAGAGGUAUAAAAAUUAGCUGCUGGCAUCCAUUUGCUGAAACAGGGUCUAAUGCUUUAGCAAUUGUUGUGGUGAGAUAUUAUUAAGGUGAUUCUCGAGGUUGGCAGGCCUAUAAAUUCUCCACAAUUAUCAUUUUUGAAUCAUAAGAAUUGGCACACAGGGCACAAGUUAUAAAAGUUCUCUUUUUAUGUUUUUUGAUUAAAGCUAUACCUCUUUGUGGCGAUGGCCGGUAAGGAAGUCUUCGUUCCCUUGUUGUAGCCUUAGAAUCAUAGAGUAAGAUAGAAUUGCGUUUGUUGUUUAUAUUAGUGUUUUACUUGCUGUAGUAUAUGAACAUUUUGCGUAAAUGGGUAUUAUAAUUGGAAAAUAAUUAAAUGAAAAUUUUGAUUUGUUUGGGAA
This is a long non-coding RNA of Papaver somniferum (opium poppy), 2138 nucleotides long. RefSeq lists it as uncharacterized. NCBI's taxonomy places the organism in Eukaryota, Viridiplantae, Streptophyta, Magnoliopsida, Ranunculales, Papaveraceae. The transcript is spliced from 5 exons. The record is from RefSeq and is a predicted model, not a curated record.